AGAUGUCACUUGCCCUGUGGUAAGGAAGUGUAGUUGGCAGCUGGUGCAGUGGCAAGAAGAGAAAGGAAGUUCCCCAAGACAGAAACAUCUCGGCAGGUUUGGAAUAGUUCACCAGUGAAGUCAUCUCAACCAGCACAGGGCCUUGACUCCUAACAACAAUCACACGAACUUGGAAGAGGAUCCUUCCCCAGCUGAAACUUCACUUGAGACCUUCUCAUUGGCCAUCAUCGACAUCUGGAUUCAUGAUACAGAGAAACUGCUUUGAAUAACUCACCAGUGAAGUCAUCUUGACCUGGACAGAAAUUGAAUCCUCCCAAGAAUCCCAGGAGCUUGGAAGGGGAUCCUUCCCCAGAUGAGCCUUCCCUUGAAAUCUCUGCCAGGCAUCUGACCCAGAGAAACUAGAGGUUAAUCCUAAGAACAGUUACAUAAGCUUGGAAGGAGACCUUUCCCCAGAUGGGCCAUAGCCUGGGCCAUCACCUACAUCUGGACUGAAGAACCAGAGAAACUACUCCAUCAGGAAUCGUUUGGGACCGUGGGUUCUGUUGACACUCACAUUGUGUAAUUAUGUUGCCCACUGCCAACCCUAAAGCCACCAAGGUAGCAGUAGAGAUGGAGUUUCACCACGUUGAGUAGGCUGGUCUGGAACUCCUGACCUCAGGUGAUCUGUCCGCCUCGGCCUCCCAACAUACUGGGAUUACAAGUGUUUCAAAUAAUUCAUCAGUGAAUUCUCCUCAACCUGGUCAAUCAUGUGAACUUAGAAGAUGAUUCCUCCCCAGCUGAUCCUCAGGGAACACUAAGGCCCAUUCUUCCUCUCAAGUAUCCAGAAAUAAAGUUGCUCCAAGUAACAAGUGGACAGCAUAAAAGAUUGUAUGGAAACUAUAAUGCAUCUACAUCUGCAGUAACUAAUCAUAAAAUGAUUUGUAUGAUCAUUCUUCACAUGAUUAGAAUUACUAUGGGAAAGAAGAAAAAGAAA
Molecule: long non-coding RNA, 973 nt
Filed under: Homo sapiens (human)
Lineage: Eukaryota; Metazoa; Chordata; Mammalia; Primates; Hominidae
Description: Prader-Willi region non-protein coding RNA 1
Source: RNAcentral